RNAcentral lists this ribosomal RNA (1442 nucleotides) under Klebsiella sp. Its description in RNAcentral is "bacterial SSU rRNA". It matches the Rfam family "Bacterial small subunit ribosomal RNA". Lineage: Bacteria; Pseudomonadati; Pseudomonadota; Gammaproteobacteria; Enterobacterales; Enterobacteriaceae. The record is from RNAcentral. RNAcentral also lists the same sequence under 1 other name.
AGAUGGCGGCAGCUACACAUGCAGUCGAGCGGUAGCACAGAGAGCUUGCUCUCGGGUGACGAGCGGCGGACGGGUGAGUAAUGUCUGGGAAACUGCCUGAUGGAGGGGGAUAACUACUGGAAACGGUAGCUAAUACCGCAUAACGUCGCAAGACCAAAGUGGGGGACCUUCGGGCCUCAUGCCAUCAGAUGUGCCCAGAUGGGAUUAGCUGGUAGGUGGGGUAACGGCUCACCUAGGCGACGAUCCCUAGCUGGUCUGAGAGGAUGACCAGCCACACUGGAACUGAGACACGGUCCAGACUCCUACGGGAGGCAGCAGUGGGGAAUAUUGCACAAUGGGCGCAAGCCUGAUGCAGCCAUGCCGCGUGUGUGAAGAAGGCCUUCGGGUUGUAAAGCACUUUCAGCGGGGAGGAAGGCGGUGAGGUUAAUAACCUCAUCGAUUGACGUUACCCGCAGAAGAAGCACCGGCUAACUCCGUGCCAGCAGCCGCGGUAAUACGGAGGGUGCAAGCGUUAAUCGGAAUUACUGGGCGUAAAGCGCACGCAGGCGGUCUGUCAAGUCGGAUGUGAAAUCCCCGGGCUCAACCUGGGAACUGCAUUCGAAACUGGCAGGCUAGAGUCUUGUAGAGGGGGGUAGAAUUCCAGGUGUAGCGGUGAAAUGCGUAGAGAUCUGGAGGAAUACCGGUGGCGAAGGCGGCCCCCUGGACAAAGACUGACGCUCAGGUGCGAAAGCGUGGGGAGCAAACAGGAUUAGAUACCCUGGUAGUCCACGCUGUAAACGAUGUCGAUUUGGAGGUUGUGCCCUUGAGGCGUGGCUUCCGGAGCUAACGCGUUAAAUCGACCGCCUGGGGAGUACGGCCGCAAGGUUAAAACUCAAAUGAAUUGACGGGGGCCCGCACAAGCGGUGGAGCAUGUGGUUUAAUUCGAUGCAACGCGAAGAACCUUACCUGGUCUUGACAUCCACAGAACUUUCCAGAGAUGGAUUGGUGCCUUCGGGAACUGUGAGACAGGUGCUGCAUGGCUGUCGUCAGCUCGUGUUGUGAAAUGUUGGGUUAAGUCCCGCAACGAGCGCAACCCUUAUCCUUUGUUGCCAGCGGUUAGGCCGGGAACUCAAAGGAGACUGCCAGUGAUAAACUGGAGGAAGGUGGGGAUGACGUCAAGUCAUCAUGGCCCUUACGACCAGGGCUACACACGUGCUACAAUGGCAUAUACAAAGAGAAGCGACCUCGCGAGAGCAAGCGGACCUCAUAAAGUAUGUCGUAGUCCGGAUUGGAGUCUGCAACUCGACUCCAUGAAGUCGGAAUCGCUAGUAAUCGUAGAUCAGAAUGCUACGGUGAAUACGUUCCCGGGCCUUGUACACACCGCCCGUCACACCAUGGGAGUGGGUUGCAAAAGAAGUAGGUAGCUUAACCUUCGGGAGGGCGCUACCACUUGGAUCAGGUGU